RNAcentral lists this ribosomal RNA (450 nucleotides) under uncultured Glomeromycotina. RNAcentral describes it as "SSU rRNA". It matches the Rfam family "Eukaryotic small subunit ribosomal RNA", at positions 569 to 1024 of the family's 1831-position model. The record is from RNAcentral. Lineage: Eukaryota; Fungi; Glomeromycota.
AGCAGCCGCGGUAAUUCCAGCUCCAAUAGCGUAUAUUAAAGUUGUUGCAGUUAAAAAGCUCGUAGUUGAAUUUCGGGGUUAGUAGGUUGGUCAUGCCUCUGGUAUGUACUGGUCUCACUGAUUCCUCCUUCCUGAUGAGCCGUAAUGCCAUUAAUUUGGUGUUGCGAGGAAUCUGGACUGUUACUUUGAAAAAUUAGAGUGUUUAAAGCAGGCUAACGCUUGAAUACAUUAGCAUGGAAUAAUGAAAUAGGACGUUCGAUCCUAUUUUGUUGGUUUCUAGGAUUGACGUAAUGAUUAAUAGGGAUAGUUGGGGGCAUUAGUAUUCAAUUGUCAGAGGUGAAAUUCUUGGAUUUAUUGAAGACUAACUACUGCGAAAGCAUUUGCCAAGGAUGUUUUCAUUAAUCGAGAACGAAAGUUAGGGGAUCGAAGACGAUCAGAUACCGUCGUAGU